GUGCUCAUUUCAACAGUACAUAUACUAAAAUUGGAACAAUUCAAAGAAAAUUAGCAUGGUCCCUGAGCAAGGAUGACAUGCGAAUUUGGGAAGUGUUCCAUAUACAU
Molecule: small nuclear RNA, 107 nt
Organism: Mastomys coucha (southern multimammate mouse)
Lineage: Eukaryota; Metazoa; Chordata; Mammalia; Rodentia; Muridae
Source: RefSeq, a predicted model, not a curated record